This 621-nucleotide ribosomal RNA is filed under the name uncultured bacterium. Its description in RNAcentral is "bacterial SSU rRNA". It matches the Rfam family "Bacterial small subunit ribosomal RNA", at positions 338 to 951 of the family's 1533-position model. The record is from RNAcentral.
CCUACGGGAGGCAGCAGUGGGGAAUUUUGGACAAUGGGCGCAAGCCUGAUCCAGCCAUUCCGCGUGAGUGAAGAAGGCCUUCGGGUUGUAAAGCUCUUUCGCAAGGGAAGAAACGAUUUAGGUGAAUAAUCUAAGUUAAUGACGGUACCUUGAUAAGAAGCACCGGCUAACUACGUGCCAGCAGCCGCGGUAAUACGUAGGGUGCAAGCGUUAAUCGGAAUUACUGGGCGUAAAGCGUGCGCAGGCUGUUUUGUAAGUCAGAUGUGAAAUCCCCGAGCUCAACUUGGGAACUGCGUUUGAAACUACAAGACUAGAAUAUGUCAGAGGGGGGUAGAAUUCCACGUGUAGCAGUGAAAUGCGUAGAGAUGUGGAGGAAUAUCAAUGGCGAAGGCAGCCCCCUGGGAUAAUAUUGACGCUCAUGCACGAAAGCGUGGGGAGCAAACAGGAUUAGAUACCCUGGUAGUCCACGCCCUAAACGAUGUCAACUAGUUGUUGGUAGAGUAAAAUCUAUGAGUAACGCAGCUAACGCGUGAAGUUGACCGCCUGGGGAGUACGAUCGCAAGNUUAAAACUCAAAGGAAUUGACCGGNNGAGAGNGCGAGGACGACGACGAGGGAGGAGG